RNAcentral lists this ribosomal RNA (282 nucleotides) under uncultured Lactobacillus sp. RNAcentral describes it as "partial 16S ribosomal RNA". It matches the Rfam family "Bacterial small subunit ribosomal RNA", at positions 251 to 525 of the family's 1533-position model. The record is from RNAcentral. Lineage: Bacteria; Bacillati; Bacillota; Bacilli; Lactobacillales; Lactobacillaceae.
GGUAGGGUAACGGCCUACCAAGGCGAUGAUGCAUAGCCGAGUUGAGAGACUGAUCGGCCACAUUGGGACUGAGACACGGCCCAAACUCCUACGGGAGGCAGCAGUAGGGAAUCUUCCACGAUGGACGCAAGUCUGAUGGAGCAACGCCGCGUGAGCGAAGAAGGGUUUCGGCUCGUAAAGCUCUGUUGUUGGUGAAGGAGGACAGGGGUAGUAACUGACCUUUGUUUGACGGUAAUCAAUUAGAAAGUCACGGCUAACUACGUGCCAGCAGCCGCGGUAAAU